Molecule: ribosomal RNA, 562 nt
Filed under: uncultured bacterium
Lineage: Bacteria
Description: bacterial SSU rRNA
Rfam family: Bacterial small subunit ribosomal RNA
Source: RNAcentral
CCUACGGGAGGCAGCAGUGAGGAGUUUUCUGCAAUGGGCGAAAGCCUGACAGAGCAAUACCGCGUGAAGGAUGAAGGCCUACGGGUUGUAAACUUCUUUUCUCAAGGAGGAAGAUCUGACGUUACUUGAGGAAUAAGCAUCGGCUAACCCUGUGCCAGCAGCCGCGGUAGUACAGGGGAUGCAAGUGUUAUCCGGAAUUAUUGGGCGUAAAGCGUCUGCAGGUUGAUAUCUAAGUCUUUUGUUAAAUCUCCAGGCUUAACCUGGAAUCUGCAAAGGAAACUAUUUAUCUUGAGUAUGGUAGGGGUAAAGGGAAUUUCCAGUGGAGCGGUGAAAUGCGUAGAUAUUGGAAAGAACACCAACAGCGAAGGCACUUUACUGGGCCAGUACUGACACUCAGAGACGAAAGCUAGGGGAGCAAACGGGAUUAGAUACCCCGGUAGUCCUAGCUGUAAACGAUGGAUACUAGAUGUUGUGGAUUUCGGUCUGCAGUGUCGUAGCUAACGCGUUAAGUAUCCCGCCUGGGAAGUAUGCUCGCAAGAGUGAAACUUAAAGGAAUUGACGG